Molecule: ribosomal RNA, 468 nt
Filed under: uncultured bacterium
Lineage: Bacteria
Description: partial 16S ribosomal RNA
Rfam family: Bacterial small subunit ribosomal RNA
Source: RNAcentral
GACGAACGCUGGCGGCGUGCUUAACACAUGCAAGUCGAACGGAAAGGCCCUGCUUUUGUGGGGUGCUCGAGUGGCGAACGGGUGAGUAACACGUGAGUAACCUGCCCUUGACUUUGGGAUAACUUCAGGAAACUGGGGCUAAUACCGGAUAGGAGCUCCUGCUGCAUGGUGGGGGUUGGAAAGUUUCGGCGGUUGGGGAUGGACUCGCGGCUUAUCAGCUUGUUGGUGGGGUAGUGGCUUACCAAGGCUUUGACGGGUAGCCGGCCUGAGAGGGUGACCGGCCACAUUGGGACUGAGAUACGGCCCAGACUCCUACGGGAGGCAGCAGUGGGGAAUAUUGCACAAUGGGCGGAAGCCUGAUGCAGCAACGCCGCGUGCGGGAUGGCGGCCUUCGGGUUGUAAACCGCUUUCGCCUGUGACGAAGCGUGAGUGACGGUAAUGGGUAAAGAAGCACCGGCUAAUUACGUG